RNAcentral lists this ribosomal RNA (390 nucleotides) under uncultured bacterium. RNAcentral describes it as "bacterial SSU rRNA". It matches the Rfam family "Bacterial small subunit ribosomal RNA", at positions 30 to 417 of the family's 1533-position model. The record is from RNAcentral.
AUUGAACGCUGGCGGCAUGCCUUACACAUGCAAGUCGAACGGCAGCACGGGAGCUUGCUCCUGGUGGCGAGUGGCGAACGGGUGAGUAAUGCAUCGGAACGUGCCCUGAAGUGGGGGAUAACGUAGCGAAAGUUACGCCAAUACCGCAUAUUUUGUGAGCAGGAAAGCAGGGGGAUCUUCGGACCUUGCGCUUUUGGAGCGGCCGAUGUCGGAUUAGCUAGUUGGUGGGGUAAAGGCCCACCAAGGCGACGAUCCGUAGCGGGUCUGAGAGGAUGAUCCGCCACACUGGAACUGAGACACGGUCCAGACUCCUACGGGAGGCAGCAGUGGGGAAUUUUGGACAAUGGGCGCAAGCCUGAUCCAGCCAUGCCGCGUGAGUGAAGAAGGCCU